Molecule: ribosomal RNA, 1364 nt
Filed under: uncultured prokaryote
Description: partial 16S ribosomal RNA
Rfam family: Bacterial small subunit ribosomal RNA
Source: RNAcentral
ACAGCGGCGAACUGGUGAGUAACGGGUGGGCAACGUGCCCUGAAGUGUGGAAUAACUUCGAGAAAUCGGAGCUAAUACCGCAUGUGAUCACCGGGUCCCUGGACCUGGUGGUUAAAGAUUCAAAUCGCUUUAGGAUCGGCCCGUCUCCGAUUAGCUAGUUGGUGAGGUAAUGGCUCACCAAGGCAACUAUCGGUAGCUGGUCUGAGAGGAUGGUCAGCCACACUGGGACUGAGAUACGGCCCAGACUCCUACGGGGGGCAGCAGUCUAGAGGCUUCGGCAAUGGACGAAAGUCUGACCGAGCGACGCCGCGUGCGGGAUUGAAGGCGUUUUCGUCGUAAACCGCUGUGUAAGGGGAAGAAUGCCCGUAUGGUGAAUACGGGAGUGACGGUACCUUUACAGAAAGCUCCGGCUAACUACGUGCCAGCAGCCGCGGUAAUACGUAGGGAGCAAGCGUUGUUCGGAUUUACUGGGCGUAAAGAGAGCGUAGGCGGCGUAUCAAGUCUGGUGUGAAAUCUUCACCGCUUAACGGGAAGAGGUCACCGGAAACUAGUAUGCUGGAGUGAGGAAGAGGCAGGCGGAAUUCCUGGUGUAGCGGUGGAAUGUGUAGAUAUCAGGAAGAACAUCGGUGGCGAAGGCGGCCUGCUGGGCCUUUACUGACGCUGAGGCUCGAAAGCGUGGGGAGCGAACGGGAUUAGAUACCCCGGUAGUCCACGCUGUAAACGGUGUGCAUUAGGUGUGGGGGGUAUCGACCCCUUCCGUGCCGGCGCUAACGCAAUAAAUGCACCGCCUGGGGAGUACGGCCGCAAGGUUGAAACUCAAAGGAAUUGACGGGGGCCCGCACAAGCGGUGGAGGAUGUGGUUUAAUUCGACGCAACGCGAAGAACCUUACCCGGGCUUGAACUGGUGGGUAAACCCCUGGAAACAGGGACUGUGGCAACACGACCCAUUAGAGGUGCUGCAUGGCUGUCGUCAGCUCGUGUCGUGAGAUGUUGGGUUAAGUCCCGCAACGAGCGCAACCCUUGUCGCCAGUUACCAUCAUUCAGUUGGGGACUCUAGCAAGACUGCCGGUAACAAACCGGAGGAAGGUGGGGAUGACGUCAAGUCCUCAUGGCCCUUACGUCCAGGGCUACACACGUCCUACAAUGGCCAAGACAAAGGGUUGCAAGACCGCGAGGUGGAGCUAAUCCCAAAAACUUGGUCUCAGUUCGGAUUGCAGUCUGCAACUCGACUGCAUGAAGAUGGAAUCGCUAGUAAUCGCGGAUCAGAACGCCGCGGUGAAUACGUUCCCGGGCCUUGUACACACCGCCCGUCACACCACGAAAGUCGGUUGUUCCAGAAGUCGCUGCAGGAACCCUCGAGGGAC